CACAGAGCAAUCUGUGUGACUGCGUACCUUUUGUAUAAUGGGUCAGCGACUUAUAUUCUGUAGCAAGGUUAACCGAAUAGGGGAGCCGAAGGGAAACCGAGUCUUAACUGGGCGUUAAGUUGCAGGGUAUAGACCCGAAACCCGGUGAUCUAGCCAUGGGCAGGUUGAAGGUUGGGUAACACUAACUGGAGGACCGAACCGACUAAUGUUGAAAAAUUAGCGGAUGACUUGUGGCUGGGGGUGAAAGGCCAAUCAAACCGGGAGAUAGCUGGUUCUCCCCGAAAGCUAUUUAGGUAGCGCCUCGUGAAUUCAUCUCCGGGGGUAGAGCACUGUUUCGGCAAGGGGGUCAUCCCGACUUACCAACCCGAUGCAAACUGCGAAUACCGGAGAAUGUUAUCACGGGAGACACACGGCGGGUGCUAACGUCCGUCGUGAAGAGGGAAACAACCCAGACCGCCAGCUAAGGUCCCAAAGUCAUGGUUAAGUGGGAAACGAUGUGGGAAGGCCCAGACAGCCAGGAUGUUGGCUUAGAAGCAGCCAUCAUUUAAAGAAAGCGUAAUAGCUCACUGGUCGAGUCGGCCUGCGCGGAAGAUGUAACGGGGCUAAACCAUGCACCGAAGCUGCGGCAGCGACGCUGAUGCGUUGUUGGGUAGGGGAGCGUUCUGUAAGCCUGUGAAGGUGUGCUGUGAGGCAUGCUGGAGGUAUCAGAAGUGCGAAUGCUGACAUAAGUAACGAUAAAGCGGGUGAAAAGCCCGCUCGCCGGAAGACCAAGGGUUCCUGUCCAACGUUAAUCGGGGCAGGGUGAGUCGACCCCUAAGGCGAGGCCGAAAGGCGUAGUCGAUGGGAAACAGGUUAAUAUUCCUGUACUUGGUGUUACUGCGAAGGGGGGACGGAGAAGGCUAUGUUGGCCGGGCGACGGUUGUCCCGGUUUAAGCGUGUAGGCUGGUUUUCCAGGCAAAUCCGGAAAACUAAGGCUGAGGCGUGAUGACGAGGCACUACGGUGCUGAAGCAACAAAUGCCCUGCUUCCAGGAAAAGCCUCUAAGCAUCAGGUAACAUCAAAUCGUACCCCAAACCGACACAGGUGGUCAGGUAGAGAAUACCAAGGCGCUUGAGAGAACUCGGGUGAAGGAACUAGGCAAAAUGGUGCCGUAACUUCGGGAGAAGGCACGCUGAUAUGUAGGUGAAGUCCCUCGCGGAUGGAGCUGAAAUCAGUCGAAGAUACCAGCUGGCUGCAACUGUUUAUUAAAAACACAGCACUGUGCAAACACGAAAGUGGACGUAUACGGUGUGACGCCUGCCCGGUGCCGGAAGGUUAAUUGAUGGGGUCAGCGCAAGCGAAGCUCUUGAUCGAAGCCCCGGUAAACGGCGGCCGUAACUAUAACGGUCCUAAGGUAGCGAAAUUCCUUGUCGGGUAAGUUCCGACCUGCACGAAUGGCGUAAUGAUGGCCAGGCUGUCUCCACCCGAGACUCAGUGAAAUUGAACUCGCUGUGAAGAUGCAGUGUACCCGCGGCAAGACGGAAAGACCCCGUGAACCUUUACUAUAGCUUGACACUGAACAUUGAGCCUUGAUGUGUAGGAUAGGUGGGAGGCUUUGAAGUGUGGACGCCAGUCUGCAUGGAGCCGACCUUGAAAUACCACCCUUUAAUGUUUGAUGUUCUAACGUUGACCCGUAAUCCGGGUUGCGGACAGUGUCUGGUGGGUAGUUUGACUGGGGCGGUCUCCUCCUAAAGAGUAACGGAGGAGCACGAAGGUUGGCUAAUCCUGGUCGGACAUCAGGAGGUUAGUGCAAUGGCAUAAGCCAGCUUGACUGCGAGCGUGACGGCGCGAGCAGGUGCGAAAGCAGGUCAUAGUGAUCCGGUGGUUCUGAAUGGAAGGGCCAUCGCUCAACGGAUAAAAGGUACUCCGGGGAUAACAGGCUGAUACCGCCCAAGAGUUCAUAUCGACGGCGGUGUUUGGCACCUCGAUGUCGGCUCAUCACAUCCUGGGGCUGAAGUAGGUCCCAAGGGUAUGGCUGUUCGCCAUUUAAAGUGGUACGCGAGCUGGGUUUAGAACGUCGUGAGACAGUUCGGUCCCUAUCUGCCGUGGGCGCUGGAGAACUGAGGGGGGCUGCUCCUAGUACGAGAGGACCGGAGUGGACGCAUCACUGGUGUUCGGGUUGUCAUGCCAAUGGCACUGCCCGGUAGCUAAAUGCGGAAGAGAUAAGUGCUGAAAGCAUCUAAGCACGAAACUUGCCCCGAGAUGAGUUCUCCCUGACUCCUUGAGAGUCCUGAAGGAACGUUGAAG
Molecule: ribosomal RNA, 2285 nt
Filed under: Escherichia coli
Lineage: Bacteria; Pseudomonadati; Pseudomonadota; Gammaproteobacteria; Enterobacterales; Enterobacteriaceae
Description: partial 23S ribosomal RNA
Rfam family: Bacterial large subunit ribosomal RNA
Source: RNAcentral